UGCCUUCUGUAUCCGUGCUGAGAUUUCAUCACACACCAGACCACAAGGGCUGAUGAGACUACCAAGAUAAGUGAAGCA
This 78-nucleotide microRNA precursor is filed under the name Schistosoma mansoni. RNAcentral describes it as "mir-3492 microRNA precursor family". It matches the Rfam family "mir-3492 microRNA precursor family". Lineage: Eukaryota; Metazoa; Platyhelminthes; Trematoda; Strigeidida; Schistosomatidae. The record is from Rfam by way of RNAcentral.